Molecule: ribosomal RNA, 475 nt
Filed under: uncultured bacterium
Lineage: Bacteria
Description: SSU rRNA
Rfam family: Bacterial small subunit ribosomal RNA
Source: RNAcentral
AGGACGAACGCUGGCGGCGUGCUUAACACAUGCAAGUCGAGCGGUAAGGCCCUUCGGGGUACACGAGCGGCGAACGGGUGAGUAACACGUGGGUAAUCUGCCCUGUACUUUGGGAUAAGCCCGGGAAACUGGGUCUAAUACCGGAUAUGACCUUGUCACGCAUGUGGUGGGGUGGAAAGUUCCGGCGGUACGGGAUGGGCCCGCGGCCUAUCAGCUUGUUGGUGGGGUAAUGGCCUACCAAGGCGACGACGGGUAGCCGGCCUGAGAGGGCGACCGGCCACACUGGGACUGAGACACGGCCCAGACUCCUACGGGAGGCAGCAGUGGGGAAUCUUGCACAAUGGGCGAAAGCCUGAUGCAGCGACGCCGCGUGAGGGAUGACGGCCUUCGGGUUGUAAACCUCUUUCAGUAGGGACGAAGCGUAAGUGACGGUACCUGCAGAAGAAGCACCGGCUAACUACGUGCCAGCAGCCGC